Non-coding RNA from Lepisosteus oculatus (spotted gar), 104 nucleotides. NCBI's taxonomy places the organism in Eukaryota, Metazoa, Chordata, Actinopteri, Semionotiformes, Lepisosteidae. The record is from RefSeq and is a predicted model, not a curated record.
UCCAGCUCCUGGUUUAUGUUGCAACAAACCGUCAGUCUGGGGUUCCUGAUCGAUUCACUGGCAGUGGGUCUGGAACAGCCUUUACACUGACGAUCACUGGAGUC